UACGGAGGGUGCAAGCGUUAAUCGGAAUUACUGGGCGUAAAGCGCACGCAGGCGGUCUGUCAAGUCGGAUGGGAAAUCCCCGGGCUCAACCUGGGAACUGCAUUCGAAACUGGCAGGCUAGAGUCUUGUAGAGGGGGGUAGAAUUCCAGGUGUAGCGGUGAAAUGCGUAGAGAUCCGGAGGAACACCAAAGGCGAAGGCAGUGUCCUGGGGAGUACCUGACGCUCAGGUGCGAAAGCCAGGGGAGCGAACGGG
Molecule: ribosomal RNA, 253 nt
Filed under: uncultured bacterium
Lineage: Bacteria
Description: partial 16S ribosomal RNA
Rfam family: Bacterial small subunit ribosomal RNA
Source: RNAcentral